CCUACGGGAGGCAGCAGUGAGGAAUAUUGGUCAAUGGGCGAGAGCCUGAACCAGCCAAGUCGCGUGAAGGAUGACGGCCCUACGGGUUGUAAACUUCUUUUGUCAGGGAGCAAUUGGGUCCACGCGUGGGCUUAGCUAUCGUCGCUGAAUAAAAAGCAUCGGCUAGCUCCGUGCCAGCCGCCGCGGUAAUAGGGGGGAUGCGAGCGUUAUCGGGCUUUAUGGGCUUAAAAGGGUGCGUAGGCGGAUUAUCAGUUCAGCGGUAAAGAUUCGGGGCUAAACCCCGUCGUGCAGUUGAAACUGGGAGUCUUGAGUGGGCGAGAGGUAUGUGGAAUGCGAGGUGUAGCGGUGAAAUGCAUAGAUAUCACGCAGAACUCCGAUUGCGAAGGCAGCAUACCGGCGUGCAACUGACGCUGAAGCACGAAAGCGUGGGUAUCGAACAGGAUUAGAUACCCGUGUAGUC
This 460-nucleotide ribosomal RNA is filed under the name uncultured bacterium. RNAcentral's name for it is "partial 16S ribosomal RNA". It matches the Rfam family "Bacterial small subunit ribosomal RNA", at positions 338 to 795 of the family's 1533-position model. The record is from RNAcentral.